UACGUGGGGAGCAAGCGUUGUUCGGAUUUACUGGGCGUAAAGGGCUCGUAGGCGGCCUCCGCAAGUCAGUUGUGAAAUCUCCGAGCUUAACUCGGAAAGGUCAACUGAUACUGCGGGGCUAGAGUGCGGAAGGGGCAACUGGAAUUCUUGGUGUAGCGGUGAAAUGCGUAGAUAUCAAGAGGAACACCUGCGGCGAAGGCGGGUCGCUGGGCCGACACUGACGCUGAGGCGCGAAAGCUAGGGGAGCGAACGGG
This 254-nucleotide ribosomal RNA is filed under the name uncultured bacterium. RNAcentral describes it as "partial 16S ribosomal RNA". It matches the Rfam family "Bacterial small subunit ribosomal RNA", at positions 524 to 776 of the family's 1533-position model. The record is from RNAcentral.